GAAACACACCCCCUGAGCGUCUGAGCACCACCAGCAGGAAGGGAGGGAGCGCGGGCCAGGUGUAGUGAGAAAUCCACAAACCAAGACACGCCCACACCCCUCGUCUCCAUUCGCGUCUCGGGCGUUGGGUGUCCGAGCGGCUUUCGCGGGAUUCCCCCCGGAGGGGCUGCGCGUCCCGUCGUCGGCCUCGAUGCCCUCGGGCGCGCGCGGCGGGGGCCGCGGCUGGAAAGGAGCGCCUCCCACCCGUCCGGGGCCUUCCGCGGCGGCGCCCCUAACGUGGCCUCCGGCAGAGGAGCCGGGGCCGCCCGCGGCAGCCCUCACCCUCCGCCGCCGGGAGUCCGAGGAGGGAGGAGCUUGGUGGGCUCGGCGAAAAGGACCGGUCCCGUACCUGCGCUAAGACGUGUUUGUAAUCCAAUGGACACACAAAAAUGCACUGAGGAAAAAAGUCGCAAAGGUUGCGUGAAAUGCUGGGAAGUUAGACACGAGGCAACGAGAAGAAGACUGUUCUGCAAGGGUUGCAUAACACUUCCACGUCAUGGGGAGAGUGACCUGUGCUAUAGUGAAGUGCACUUAAGGUGAUGUAUCACAUUGAUUGAUUUGUGAAUAUUGAACCAGCCCUGCAGCCCAGGAAUGCAUCCCACUUGAUCAUGGCUCGGAAAUGAGCUGAAUUAAGAAGCAUAAUAAAACAUGUCAAGAUUAACAAUUUUAAUUGACACAUUUGACUCCAAACUUGAGUGAGAUUUACCGGAAUGUCUGUAUCUAGGUCUAGUGUGAAUUCCAGAGUUUUGAAUAAUUGCAGUGUGUGCAGCUGGAGGAAACAACUUAAAUAGGAAGGAAAUCUAUUACGUCACAACACUAUUAAGGAAACAAGUAUAGAAUUACUAGUGUUUAAAUCUAUUUUCAGUAGUUUAAAAUUAUAUGUUGCAUGAAAAUGCUAAACUCAAAGAAGCUUAUUGAGUCUCCAGCUUCUCUGAGCAGCUGCCAAUGGCUAAUGGUUAUAAUCAUUAUUAUUAUUGACAAUAAUAAUAAUUAAUAGUAAGAUCUACCUUAAAAUGUGAUGCUUUUAAAAAUAAUAUUGAAGAUGACAAAGGGCAUAUAAAUUUUCCCUAAUAAAGUUUAAGAUUGUAAAACUACAUCAUAAUGAUUAUUUCCUCUAAAGCACAUUACAUUUUAACUGGGAUUAUUUCCUAUAGUCAAGAUAUUUAAAGAAAACACUUAGGAAAAAUACACCAAACUCUUUAGGAAUAGAAGUGCCAUCUGAAUGGAGAAAAAGAUAUUAUUAUUCUAAUAUUUGUAGUAAUAACAAGGGAAAAAGACUCAUUUGCCCAUUAUAUUCAGUAAUAUUUGAAUGGCGAUUUAAUUGACCUUAUAAUUUUAAGAUACUCUUUUUUAAUGAUAAAUUUUGGUAUGAGAUUCUGCAAAUUUCUUAUAUACUAACAAAGAGAACAAGUUUCUUCUUAGAACUUAAGGGUGCCGUGAUAAUGGUCAACAUAACUGAUGCCACAUGCCUGGCCCCUGACAUCACGCUUAACAUGUAUGGGCUCAGUUAAUUUCCCAGCAGCCCAAGGAGGGCGGUCACUCCGUUGACUGCACAGAAGAAGGAGGCUCCGAGAUUUGCCUAUAGAGAGUCCUAUUCCAGUCUUCCUUCUUAACUCUGGUACUGUGCUCCCUCCCGGAGAGAAAGUCAGGGAACCACACUACUAACAAAUUGCUUCUUUUAAACCUAACCCUCCUCCUACUAUCAGUGGGAUAAUAGUUGGUCUGUGUACACCCGAGAAAAACAAGACAAUAUAUUGCUAAAUAAAACCAGAGUUGUUAAAAGUGAAAGGUGAAAUUUGAAAUCUCUUUUUCGAAUAAAGGACUUAUAUAAUUUUGGAUUUGGAAGGAACUUUUAAAAUUAUUUAUUAACUCUUUAAUUUUACAAAGGAAAUAAAAUGAAUCCAGAGACUUGACGUUUUUUGUGCUGGAUGUAGUGAUAGAACCUAGGUCUACUGACUCCUAGAUAAGUACUUUCUUCCAGAUAAAAAUUUUGCUUUUUUUAAUUUUUUUUUAAAAACACCAUCUUGCUAUUAGGCUUUAAUAAUUUAACAUUCUAGAUAUGACUAGCAAAACCAAAGCCUGCCAUGUUAGGUUUAAUGUUGGCAGUCUUGUUUACUUCUUACCAAAUAAUCAUGAAACUACAUUUCCUGCCUUCAACUCUUUCUUUUCUCUUACCUCUUUUUUAUUGAUUGAUUCUUAUGUAAUGUGCGUCCAGUUUCUGUAGACGAAAGGUGACCAGAAGAUGAAUCUGCUGCUUUUGACUGAUGAUAAAAAACAGUGCUCGGGGCCCCUGGGUGGCUCAGUUGGUUAAGCAUCUGACUUUGGCUCAGGUCAUGAUCUCAUGGUCUGUGACUUCGAGCCCCUGGUCGGAAAUCUCUGCUUCGGAGAUUCUCUAUCUCUAGCCCCUGCUUCAGAAUCUCUCUAUCCCUCUCUCUCUGCCCCUCCCCCACGCAUGCUUUUUCUCUCUUUCUCUCUGAAAAAUAAAAUAAAUAAACAUUAAAAAUCAUUUAAAAAUACUGAAAUAAAAAUAAAUGCUCUGUAUGUUCAUGAAAAUAUCUUCAGAAAAUGUUUCCUCUCGUGGAUAUCCCAUCGGAAGGGAGGGCAGAUCAAUUCCACAGCUUGUGGCCGCCAACCGAGCGGCAGGGGCAACGAUAUUUUGGGGGCCAGCCUACACCUCAUACCUCCGUGUCUGUCUAAUCAGUAGUGGCAUCGCUUCUCCGAGCAGUAUGGUAAGCAGGUCCUUAAACUGACCAGCGCCCUGCCUUCAGCACCUAUUGGACACUGUGAUGCGGUAUCCCAUGGUAGCUACCUUUCUCUAGUACUGAUCUAACUCACCCGUGACAGCGAUAGCCGUCUUGUGACGAAGAGGUCUGCAGUCAUGGAGGCAGUUAAUCGCAGUGCACUGUGGGAAAAUGCUCAGCUCAGACAUUGCUAAUGUGUGGACCCAUCGUUUCCAGUAGUGUUGGGAUGGUGGGGCAGCUAACAGGAACACCAGCAGCCUAGAUAGCAGAGGACCGGGCGAAGAGAUGGAAACUAUGCUUAGGAGGUGCCUCCUCAGUGCCUGGUUUGUGCUAGAGGCUACCUGCAUGACCUCGUGCAGUUAUUCAACCCAGAUGUGUAAUCUUCAUUUUCUAGAGAGGCCCGUUGCACUCCUGGGAGGUCAGGUAACUUGACCACGGUUGCCCAGCUUAUAUGGGCACGUUACAUUCCCGUGGCCAGCUGUGGGCCUGUUUACACUCGGAUCCUUACCAUUGUGCUGACCUCGCACACUGCUCCCACGUCAGGCGGCCUCCACGUUGGCCGGGCUAAAAGACGGCUCCAGGAGGAAUCUGGCAGAAAGGGAGAAGCCAGGCAUUUCUUUGGUUGCCGUGGCUCUACCCGGUCCACCGUGGGUCCGGCUUCCACCAAGUGACCCUGGGUUGUGAUGGCUCGCUUUUCCCUUUAAGUUCAGACUUGUUGCCAAUCUCCAGACCACUUCGCUCGGCUCUUCCAUGGCCUCUGUUAUACCUCUAUCCCAGGUGUAUUUCACUCUAAAGUUGACAUUAGAAAAAAAUCUGAUCGAAGUCCAAGAGCUGUCACUUUGCCUUCUUUUCUCUAAAAUUGAGUUAAAACUUUUGCCUUCUUUAUCUCCCAGGAUUGUUUGAAGCUCAGAUGAGACAGUGUAGGGGAAGGCUUUGCAGUAAAGAGAUGAAGUAUUAUAUGUUUCCGUCACUGAAACAGAUAGCCUGUACAGGCAUUGGGCCCCAGACUUUGGCAAAGCCUUUCCGUCUAGAAAAGUCUUCUAUCUGGCUGGGGUGUGGGGGUGGGCUUUAAAAUUACUGCUGCUUGGGUCCCACCCACAUGGACUCUGAUUUCAGGUGUCUUGGGAACCUAUGUUUUCAAAAAUCUCCAGCUGGUUCUAAUGUGCAGUCGGGGUGAGAAACACAGCUUUCUAUCGGUGGUUCUUGAAGGGUGGGCUUUGGACCGAAAGCAUCAGCACCAUCUGGAAACCUGUUAGAGCCGCACCUUCUUGGGACCCACCUAGACCUGCUGAGUCAGAGACUCUAGAGUGGGGCCCUCCGGCUACCUGUAAGAAGCCCCCCGGAUGAGUCUGGUGCCCACUCAGGUUUGGGUCCAGCAGCAUUGGGUGGGCGUGCCGCGCUUCAGUCAAAGAGGUUUAGCUGCCCUGCCUUUUCUCUCUUUUCACCUCUGCUCUCCUGUGGCUGGAAAGGGGGACUUCUUACCGUCCCAAAAACGAUUCCUUGUGCUUCCUGUGACCGUGUGAGUACUGCUUCUGUGGCUCUCUUGGCUGCGGCUUCAAGCCAGCCACCGUUGGACACGGAAGUGGAAUUUAUUUAUUCAAGCCCUCGUUAUUAAGCACACGCUGUGGGCCAGGAACUGUGCAAGGCCCUGAGAGUGCCACAGUCAAAGGAGGGGAUGGGCUCCAUCCUCAGAGCACCGGCCGUCUGGGGAGAGGCCGCCAAGCAGCUAGCAAUGCACAUCUGUCGGGAGAAAUGCUGCGCGACGGCCCUCGCCCUCGCAUGCAAGAAUGGCACCGUUAUUUCUCUGACGACAGUGAUCAUAAGAUUUAUUCGCAUCAGGGGUUCUUUUGCACACAAUGAAGAUAGAAUUAAUGUAGUGUCUGAUAAAGGGAGGGACCAGUUUCAUUAGCUGUGGCUCCAGGAUGUCCCGAAAGGGUGGGACCUGCGGGAGUGGCUGUCAGCCGGGCCGCCCAGGCCUUGUCUGAAAUCCCCACGGAGGAGGCGCCUAGAAGGCAGACCCUCCUGGAGCUCACCGGGCUAAGGGCACGCCCAGGUAAGUCCGCCAAGAAGGAUUCGGGAGGCAAGGCGUUUGCUUGUCCAGAGAAUGACAAGCUGGUGAUGCUUCUGCCUGGUAGAAUAAGUGUUUGCUCGAGCAAGAAUGAGGAAGGGGAACGUGUCUAAAAGUGUAUUUAGGAUUCGGGACCCUCUCUGAUUUGGCGAAUAGGUUUUCGAAGUGGAAGGGCUAGCUGUCUCCAGAAGAGGGCGCCUGUAUUCUUUGUUACCAUUUUCCAUCUGGAAGCGACCGUUUAUAUUUUCAUACUGGCACAGAAUAAACAGAAGACUGACUUAUGUUUUGCUGUUUGCAGAACUGACUUCAUGUAAUUUUGACAGUUGUACCACAUUCCAAACGGUUAUAAUUUUUUCCACUGGGACUUGGGGAUAUUAGAUUAGGACAUCAGAAAACCAUGGGAAAUGCGUCUCCUAACAGUAUUCUUGCACUACAUGAGCUCUGUGCUCUUUGGCUUAUCUGUAAAAACAUCUCCUUCAUUAGCGCCUACGAACAAGGCCUGUCAGUAACACACUAGUCUCCAGAGCAUGCUUCUGCCUAUUUGAAAGAAUAUUUACAUGACGCGGAAAACAAGUGGUUGAUCCAUUUAAAACGGUGAAACAAUUGGAUGGUACAUUUUCUUCUUAUUCAGACAGUUACAGCACUAUGGAGACGUUGCCAUUAAUAAGUUCAGACGUGAGUAACACGACACUUUGGCAGGUCGCAUGCCAGAGUCAGAAAGGGGCCGCCUUGUCAGAGGGGGCCGCGAGCGAGGAGGACACAUGUACACAAACACGCAAACUCCGCUCAGUGGCCAAAAAGGGUGAGUGGAGGAAUCUGAAAGUAAAAAUCUGUGGCUUUUGAAUUUAGUGUGAAAUUGCAAACAGACGAUGCAGUAAGCGGAUCAGAGCGCGAGGGAAUAGAAGUGAAAUUUUGGUGACACUAGAUAAAAGCAUGUGAAGGGCGGUCCCUGUGGCUCAGGGGUUCUGCUCUGCCUAGAGGGCCGAUACGUUGGCACAUGGGUGACGGUGCCGUUUUUAAAGCAGAUUUGUGCGAUUUCCUGCUUUCCUGGGAAGUAAUUCUCUCUCUCUCUCUCUCUCUCUCUCUCUCUCUCUCUCUCUCUCUUCGCUUGCCUGCCCCCACCUUUAUACUCCCAAAUUAAUAUGACAUGGGGAGAAGGGAUGUCCAGGUUGGGCUUUAUGUUCAUGCGGCUUUCUGCAAAGAUAAGAGAUGUUAAACCUUCUGGGACUGAUGACUUGCCUCACGUGGCUCUGAGAUUUGCUCUCCUCGGAAGGUGAAGAAGGGUGGGGAGAAAGGGCGAAACGGCCCUUUCUGUACUGCUUUAUUAUGUGCAGCGUUUUCUCAAAGUCUUAAGUGUGGAUGAAAGCUCUCAGCCUUUAAAUUAACGUGACCCAACGUUCACAUGGCCGAUGCUGCGGACAGGCCCGCCUGUGAGAAGAUUCGGGGUCUGGGCUUGAUUUCUGUGGAUGUAAUCAGCAGAGAGCAUGAAUGGGAGGAAUGAUUGGGAAGCUCUGAAAGUUUCUAGUGUGCUCCCUGUUUUGUCAUUAUCUCGGGGUAAUUGGAGUUGAGAGGGUAGGACCUCUAAUGAGCGGCUGCUCUCCCCUAAUGGACGGGGACUGGAAAUUAGUGCGGCUCCUGCUGUUCUACGUGAGUGAACCGUGGCGGCCAGAGCCGCCAGCGGGUCCCUCCAGGAAGUUUAGGCAACUGCCUAAUGGUGGCCUCGCUAAUGGCAACAAUUACAGAAUAGCCUUUUCAAUGAGACCCGUGUGCAUCAGUUAGAGACUAAUCUCAUUGAGCAGCAACAGGCCUGUGACAAUGUCCAUUCGGUGACUGGUACUUCAGCAUCGCUGGCUAGGAGGGGUUUUCGUGUCUCCCGAGAAAGCCGAAAUAGACACGAGGCGACACCAACCUGUGCCCCUUUGCAAGACCAAGAUUGCAGCAGCAGGCGAGAAAGCAAGCGCGCCUUCUCCCCGGGGCCGUCUCCUGCCGGGGCGGUAGCCCCCUUUUCUACCCACGGCAUCCCACUUAACAAGUACAGAGCCGGGGCCGGCACACGGGCGCCGACCCUCCGCCAGCCGCGGCCUUCAGAGUUACCUGUCACGUCUCGGAGGGAAUGGGGGGGGCACCGAAGGCAGGAGAGGGUUCCCGCGAUGAGAAUCCGUCAACACGGGUGGAUGCCUGUAGCCGGGAACGAGAGCCGGUCGGUGCCGUUUCAAAUCACCGGACUCGUUUACUGUCACAGGUUUUAACACCUCCAGUGACAGAACUGGGGCUUCCAGGCCCGGCCGUGGAAGCCACUGUAGUUUAAGGUCACGUGGCUUUACCCAACCUGUGGGAAAGACCGGCCUUGUGCCGUCACGGCAGCCCCGACUUGACCCCAGAAGGGCCUGGACUCCGAGAGUGAGUAAGGAGGCAUUGCCUUUUAGGGGCCCUCCCGGGCAGGGUCAGCUCCCCAGCACGAGGGCCUCUUAAACUGUCCAUCCCGGGCACCUCUCUGGCCUCACCCUACCCCCAUCCCGAGAAGAACCAGUCCCCUUUGAGGCAUGAGCACUCUUUCUCGGAACGAUGGGAUCCCUUCGUUUUUACGGAAUUAGCACGAUGGUAAAUUUGGCCUAAUACGCACACACACACCACAUCUCCUCUAUAGAAAGACAUAGGUGUUGAAUGAGCCGCAAACGUCUUUAAACAUAAAACCUACGUAAGGAAAAAAUUGAAGACGGCAGUAUGUUUACUGCGUGGAUUUCAAGAUAGGCUAGGUCUUUUUCGUCAGAGUAAUUUAUCCUGAGCAGAAUCGACUGACCCAGAUCUGGACGUUUUUGUUUGUGUGUGGGGGGUGGGGAAGGGGAAGCUUCAAAUUUGUCUUAGCUUUUUGGAGUCUGCUCCCAUAGUAUAGCUGCUGACUCAUCAUCACGGAAGAGUGGAGAUGAGAGAAAGUCGCAAAUACGUUUGGUGUAUGGGAGUUUUUAAAAAAUGUUCUUGCUGUCAUCUUCAGGGUUAAGUGUUGUUCCAGCCGUAGCACGCAGACACAAAAAUUGCUCGUAAAAUAUAAUUUCCCUAGAAGAUGAUCCCUUAUCCGCUCAGAAUGAGGAGACAGUGCUGAAUUCAGCUCACAAGUGGCCAAUUUAACUUAACACUAUUUGCAUGAAAAUAAUUGCAGGUGCAAGCAGGGAAGUAAGGUUUUGAGCAGUUGGCCUUAGGUGUGCCUGGUCAAGUCGGGUCCUGUAAUAUCCGUUCUCUGCUUUGGCUUGAGUCAUUUCAGGGACUUGUAGCUUUUUUUUUUUUUUUUUUUUUUUUUAAGAGGGAGCACAAGGAAAAAUUGCAGACUUCACCUAAUUUAAAAUAAGAACUUCCUAUCGACUGAUUUUACUCUUUUCACUGCAGAAUUUAGAGAAAGCAAGCAGUUCACAAGGCACCUAUUUCUGGUUUGCAAUACAGGUUGUGGUUUCCCUCUUAUUAAACAUUGGCUAUAUUUUUAAGACACUUUGCCUAAGAGUGGAUAAAGUGCUUGCAAAGUAAUGGUUGUUGAAAGCGUCCGAAAUCCCCCAGGAACUAAUUUGUUGUUGUUUUUAUUCUCUAACUAGAAUGGGAGUUUGCCUAAGAUGUUGGUGAUUUCCUGCAGUGAUUUCUGAACGAGAAGUAGAUUUAAGGUUCGAAGUCACUUUCGUGUGUGAUCUCUGGGUUAAGAAGCAAAUUCCUCAGUUUGAAGGCUCAAAUGUUUUUCUUUGGAGAAAUAGAAAAAAAAAAUCCAAGGGACUUGUUAAACAUGCUUGUGCCAUAUCGACUCCAUCAUAGACUGGAACUUGGCCCACAACAAAGCCUUACGGGUGUGAGGUGCUGGGGGGUUAGGUGUCGUCCUUGGGCCACAGAAACCUCAAGCAUGUGGGCAGAAUGGUGACCAUUGGCAGCCAUCAGGCUGUGAAAACAACGUGCUAAUUACUGGGGAAAACAAACAGCCCACAGUUUCUACAUACCCAUCAGGAGAUAUGAAUAACAGAGUACGUACAUUUUUAAAUUUAGCGCAUUUUUGCUGCUCAAUAAAUGCAUAAUAAUAAUCAUCAUCACAUUUUUAUUAGACACUGUGCAUUUAUGAGCGAGCUUGGUGGUCUCUUUGGGCCUCUGCCAAGGUCUAAUGGAGCCUUCAUAGCUGUGCAGACUCCUCUUUCAGAUUUUCCCCUCCUUUCUGCAUAAUCUAGGGGACGACAGCAAACCUACCUGGGGUAAAGGGAACGUGAAGGAGGUAGCUUUUACUUUAUCUCAGAGUCAAUCUACCCUGGCUUUUCCAAGCCAAAGACAUUCUUCUAGAAAUCACUGUGCUCCGUGACAAAAGUUGAACAGAAGAUAAUCACUCACAAAGGAAAAGAAAAAUGUUAGCAUUAGCCUUUUUUCAAAAAUUGGUUUCUGACCCAAGUGUCAACGUUCAUUGACCUAUAAUGCUAGACACCCUGCUUCCUUAUUAAUAAUGGCAAAGUUGGGGCUUGGCACAAAAACAUCACCUUGCGUUUUAGAAAGCAGAAACGAAGGCAAAGUGAAUGCCGUAACAUCCCACGUAUCGGAUCUAAUCGGCCUGGGAACAUGGAAAGAUGGGACGGGGACAUGCGUUCAGUCAGUCAACAAAUCUCUGUGGAGCACCCAAGAUGGCGCAGCCCCUCUUCCUGGGACUUGGACACAUUGGUUACCAGGACAAAGGCCCCUGACUUUGCAGGGCUCAACGACUGGGUGGUGUUGAAGAGCAUGUCCUACUGAGUAGAAAGUGGCAGUGAAAAUCCAAACAUCUCGCCUAAGUUUGGACGGUGAGGAAAAUGAAAGCGAAGUGAGGGACUCAGGGUCAUGGAGCUUGGGAAGACGCAGUUGAAACUAGACUUUCUGAUGGGAUUCGAGUAUAGGAAGAAUUGUUAUCUUGGAGGGGACGGCGGCCACCUCCUAGGAGGGUGGUACGGAAGGAGCCAUGCCAGCUGCUAGGAAAGAAAUCUAGACUCGAAGAUAUGGAAGAAUGGCAACGAGGACUGGAAUGCAAUGCCAAAGAAAGGAAAAACAAUGAGAUAAGUUACGCGUGGUCUUCCCAGAGCUGGGCAUGAACUAUCUUUCAGCUUUCUUCCACCUUUAAAAACUCGAAAUAGCUGUAAACUUAUUUAACGUCAAUAAGCAAUACAUUGUCUAAGGGAGAUAAACACAGAAUAGUGCACCGUACAUGGACCUGUACAUUUAGAGAACAAAUGUGGAUUGUGUCUAACGUGUAGGUAGAGGGUUGGGCUUACACACAGGGGACAUUUUUCCUCCAUCUGAGGCAACAUCUAUGUAGGAGGCUGGUUCACCACUUCUAGACACGUUUGUAUGUGCAUCCCACCGCACAUGAUGCCCCUGUAUGUGGCAUAGAAAUAUAUAUUUCUAUGUUGUUUGGGUGUUUUUGCUUGUUUUUGUUUUUAGGUUCCAAGAUAUAUAGUCAACAUAUCACCCAGAGGAGAACUAUUUGAUGCGUUCUUGGAGUGAUUUCAUCUGUUGAAUGUUAGGUAGUGACUGAGAGACCAGGUAGGUUUGUCUGGGGGUGGGGGGGGGGGCAUAAUUAGUAAAGCUUUAGCGCAGGUAAGAGCAGGGCCUAGUGCGGCCAUUCUACCUACUUUCCUUCUGCCUUUGCCGUUUCCUGCUACUACUAGAUUGGUACCCACCACCGCCUUGUGGUGAGACCCUUGAGGGCAGGGACCGUGUGUCGUGUGGCAUUGAAUUCCUAGCCUCCAGCACAGGGCUAUGCACUUGGUAGGGGCUCAAUGCAUAUUUAUUGGCUAGAAUUGAACUAGUAUAAACAUACAAGGAAAGCCUCAUCAGGGAGCCCGGAAUACCAAGAACUAAGUUAAAGGAAACUUGGGGCAGGUCUUCCUGCCCAACCCCAGGGCACAGCUCUCCGUGUCUCAGACACCACUCCCUGCAGUUGGGCAAGGAGGGGCGCCGACUUCAGGGUGGACUGUGUCUAGUUUAAAGGAUGCUCACUGUGCCACUGUGAGUGAAAAACUGUUGACAAGUCGCACAUCCAUCAAUAGGAGAAAAUUGGUGGAUUAUGGUAUAUCGAUGCUAUGGAAGGUGAAGCGGCCAUUGAAAAGGAACCAGGGAAGUCUGCCUGUUCUGACAGAGGAGGAUGUCAGUGGUAGAGUACUGGUGUUUUUUUUUUUAAUGUUAAUGUUAAUUUUUUUUAAUGUUUACUUAUUCUUGAGAGAGAGACAGAGACAGAGCGCAAGCGGGGACAGGGGGGCAGAGAGGGAGACACAGAAUCCAAAGCAGGCUCCAGACUCUGAGCUGUCAGCACAGAGCCCGACGCAGGGCUCAAGCUCAUGAACUGUGAGAUCAUGACCUGAGCCGAAGUUGGAUGCUCAACUGACUGACCACCCAGGGCACCCUCCACCACUCCCGCUCUGCCCCCACCCCCCAGAGUACUGGUUUUUGAAAAGCAGUAUGCAUGUCAUUAUGUGUAAUUUGUUCCCAUUUAAAGAACUACCCCUAUACAUAUGUGCAUAUGUAUGGGUACUUACAGAAAGCUCUGGAAGGAUGUACGCACAUCGAAUACUAGCGAGUGCCUAUGAAGGGAUGGGAGAGAUUUAAAAAUCCAUGUACUUCUGAACUGUCUGAAUGUUUUACAGCAAACUUGUAUUAUGUAUGCAAUAACAUAUAUAUGUUAUUUCUCUCUAUAUAUUUCUCUAUAUAUUUUUAUAGAUAUAUAUUUAUAUAUACAGAUAUUAUAGAUAUAUAUUUUCUCUCUCUCUAUAUAUAUGGAAAAGAAGAGUUUCUCUCCUUUGUGAGAAUUGGUUUGUUGUAGUAGCCUAGAAUUAAUGUAUAAAUAAGUAUAUAUUAAAUAGUUGUUAUUUAACUAAUUUACUAUUGAUUGAGUGAUUGAUUCUUGGCUAAAUAAAGUGGAACAAUUCUCGCGAAGGAAAGAGACCAUUGUUGACUCGCAAGAAGGUCUUAUUUUUCAUGACUGAAAGUCCUAUCUUUUGGUUGGGCUUGUAUUUUAGUGAUGAGUAAGGGGCAGUGUCCCUUGAGAACAUAGGUCCCCAAAUUGUAGGCAAAAAAAAAAAAAAUCAUAAUUUCAUGUCUAAUACUUUUUUUUUUUUUUUUUUGCUCUCUUGCUUUGGACAUGUCUACAUAAAGCAAGUCAAAAGUUAAAGUAAAACUCUAGAUUAGCAUUGUCGCCAGAAGGGGAGGGAAAUUAGCAGAGAGUCCAAGAUGAGUCCCAAGCGGCUAUGUUUUUAUGUUCCUCCACACAUAAUUCUGAGGCAUAGCCAGGACUGAGACCUACCCCUGGGGUUUCUUUGAUACUAACCAUACUCUACGGACUACAAGGCAAUCUCUCCAAUGUACUCUUGACAUCAGCAAAAAACAGGAGUAGUGAAACAUGAUUUGUGCCAACAUAAGUUUGCACGUUUCCCAUUUGUUUGUGGUCAGCAUCGAAUCCCAGUCCGAUAUUUAUAGGCUUAUUAUUUUAAAGUAUCCCACAUCAAGGCUCUGUCAAACACUCAAGACAAAUCUAAAUCAACGUCUUGCUUUUCUUUGUCACUAUUGGGGGGACUUGGGGAUAAUCACAAAGUUUCCUUCCAAUUAUGUGAUUCCACUGUAUGGCUCUGAUAAGUCGGUACUUGAGUAUACUAAAUAGAUUUGAAUCUUUAGGCCUGGACGAGUUAUAUCUCAAGGUACUGUAAUAAUUCAUGUAUAUAAUGGCCGAGCCUGGCCAAUGGUAUUUAUGAAACUUUUCCGUGACUCUAAACAGUCUCUACCACACUAGAAAAAUAACGGUUUUAUCUAUUACCACGGGGCUGAAUUAUUCUAUUUAACUAGAAUUCUUAUUAUUGAUGUUAAGUUGCUACUAAUUAAAAAAACUUUUUUGAGUGUAGUUGACACACAAUGUGACAUUAGUUUAAGGGGUACAACAUAGUGAUUCAACAGUUCUGUGCGGUAUACUGUGCUCACUUACGUGUAGCUGCCAUCUGUCACCACACAGCACUGUCACAAUAUCAUCGACUAUGUUCCCUAUGCUGUGCCUUUUGUUCUUGGAUCUCCCGCCAAUCUCCUUCACCCAUGUUGCCCAACCCUGUACCGCCUUCCCUCUGGCAAACAUCAGUUUACUCUCUGAUUUCUGCUUUUUGUUUAUUCAUUUGUUUUGUUUUUUAGAUUCUACACACGAGUGAAAUUAUACAGUAUUUGUCUUUCUCUGUCUGCCCUGUUUCACUUAGCAUGACACUCUCUUGGUCCAUCCGUCCAUCUGUGUUGUUGCAAAUGGCAAUAUCUCCUCUUUUUUAUGGUGGAGUAAUAUUCCAUUGUGUAUAUAUAUAUACACACCACAUCUUCUUUGUCCAUUUAUUUUUGGAAAGACACUUGGGUUGUUUCCAUAUCUUGGAUAUUAUAAGUUAUUUAUAAUUUUUCCCCCUUUUCCAGGUGUCUUUUUUUUUUCUCCUGAAUGGCCAUAGUGAUUAAUUUUAUGUGUCAAUUUAUGUCGGGUAUUUGGUGAAACAUUAUUCUAGGUGUUUCUGUGAGGGUAUUUUUGGAUGAGGUUAACAUUUAUAUCGGUAGACUGAGUUGAAGCAGACUGCCCUCCAUAAACGUGGGUGGGCCUCAGCCAAUCAGUGUAUAGCCUGCGUAGAACAAAGGCUGACCUUCUCCGAGUAAGAAAGAAUCUUUCAGCCAGACAGCCUUUGAACUAGGCACUGCCUCUUCCACUUGGCAGCUUCCAGCCGUUAGACGUGAACUACAAUGUCAGCUCUGCAGAUUUCGGACUUGACCAGCAUCUGUAAUCACAUAAGUCAGUUCCUUAUAAUAAGUCUCUUCAUGUAAUCUAUCUCUAUAUAAUAAUCUUCAUACAUAUGUAAUCUUUAUAUAUAAAGUCUAAUAAUAUUCUAUGUAGUAAAUAUCUCUCUAUGUAUAUGCAUAUGUAGAACCCUGACUAAUACAAUGGAUGAUAAAAACCACACAAUUUUCAUUGUAUUUUCGACCUUUCUUUUUUUUUUUUUUUAGUGAUAAAUAUAUUGGAUUGUUAGCAGAAAAAUAUAUGUUGUGUUACUUAUGAAUUACAUUCAUGGGGCAUGAGGGUGCUACAGUUAUAGGUUAAAAAAAUUUCCUCUUAUUUUACUUUUGAGAUGAAAUAGAUUUUGAAUAGAUUUUGAAUACAAGUUCAAUUAAACGGUAAAUGAAAAGAACGCUGGUGCAAUUUUGAUUGGGAUUGCACUGAAUGUGUAGAUUGCUUUGGGUAGUCUUGCCAUUUUAACAAUAUUUGUUCUUUCAAUCCAUGAGCAUAGAAUGUUUUUCCAUUUCUUUGUGUCUUCUUCGAUUUAUUUUAAUCGCUUCUCGGCCUUUUGGCUAAGAUCAAGUGCAGUUUCUUUCAUAAGUUUUCUAUAGUUUUCAGCAUACAGAUCUUUUACAUAUUUGAUUAGGUUUAUUCCUAAAAUUUAUAUGGAGCCACAAAAGACCCCGAAUAGCCAAAGUAAUGUUGAAAAAAAAAAACCAAAGCGGAGGCAUCAGCAUCCUGGACUUCAGCCUCUGCUACAAAGCUAUAAUCCUCAAGACAGUAUGGUACUGGCACAAGAACAGACAUAUAGACCAAUGGAAUAGAAUACAGAACCCAGAAUUGGAUGUAUGAAAUGUAUGGCCAACUAAUCUUUAACAAAGCAGCAAAGAGUAUCCAAUGGAAAAAAGACAGUCUCUUCAGCAAAUGGUGCUGGGAGGACUGAACAGCAACACGCAGAAGAAUGAAACUAGACCACUUUCUUACACCAUACACAAAAAUAAACUCAAAA
RNA transcript from Panthera uncia (snow leopard), 14618 nucleotides. It is a transcript of the gene named fibroblast growth factor 9, with no coding region annotated. NCBI's taxonomy places the organism in Eukaryota, Metazoa, Chordata, Mammalia, Carnivora, Felidae. The transcript has 4 exons. The record is from RefSeq and is a predicted model, not a curated record.